This 421-nucleotide ribosomal RNA is filed under the name Verrucomicrobiota bacterium. RNAcentral describes it as "Verrucomicrobia bacterium partial 16S ribosomal RNA". It matches the Rfam family "Bacterial small subunit ribosomal RNA", at positions 355 to 776 of the family's 1533-position model. The record is from RNAcentral. Lineage: Bacteria; Pseudomonadati; Verrucomicrobiota.
UGGGGAAUAUUGCACAAUGGACGAAAGUUUGAUGCAGCGACGCCGCGUGGAGGGUGUAGGCCUUCGGGUUGUGAACUCCUUUUUCUCGCGAAAAAGGCACAGUUUUGGCUGUGUUGAUGGUAGUGGGGGAAGAAGCGCCGGCUAACUACGUGCCAGCAGCCGCGGUAAUACGUAGGGCGCGAGCGUUGUCCGGAAUUAUUGGGCGUAAAGGGCUUGUAGGCGGUUGGCCGCGUCUGCCGUGAAAUCCUCUGGCUUAACUGGGGGCGUGCGGUGGGUACGGGUUGACUUGAGUGCGGUAGGGGAGACUGGAAUUCCUGGUGUAGCGGUGGAAUGCGCAGAUAUCAGGAGGAACACCGGUGGCGAAGGCGGGUCUCUGGGCCGUUACUGACGCUGAGGAGCGAAAGCGUGGGGAGCGAACAGG